This 305-nucleotide ribosomal RNA is filed under the name uncultured bacterium. RNAcentral describes it as "bacterial SSU rRNA". It matches the Rfam family "Bacterial small subunit ribosomal RNA", at positions 338 to 640 of the family's 1533-position model. The record is from RNAcentral.
CCUACGGGAGGCAGCAGUGAGGAAUAUUGGUCAAUGGGCGCGAGCCUGAACCAGCCAAGUCGCGUGAGGGAUGACGGUCCUACGGAUUGUAAACCUCUUUUGCCGGGGAGCAAGCGUGCGUUCGUGAACGCACGUCGAGAGUACCCGGAGAAAAAGCAUCGGCUAACUCCGUGCCAGCAGCCGCGGUAAUACGGAGGAUGCGAGCGUUAUCCGGAUUUAUUGGGUUUAAAGGGUGCGCAGGCGGAAGAUCAAGUCAGCGGUAAAAUUGAGAGGCUCAACCUCUUCGAGCCGUUGAAACUGGUUUU